AGAGUUUGAUCAUGGCUCAGGAUGAACGCUAGCGGCAGGCUUAAUACAUGCAAGUCGUGGGGCAGCAGGGCUGUAGCAAUACAGUCGCUGGCGACCGGCAAACGGGUGCGGAACACGUACACAACCUCCCUUCAAGUGGGGAAUAGCCCGGGGAAACCCGGAUUAAUACCCCGUAUCAUAUUAGAGUGGCAUCGCUUUAUUAUUAAAGCUACGGCGCUUGAAGAUGGUGUGCGGCUGAUUAGGUAGUUGGCGGGGUAACGGCCCACCAAGCCUACGAUCAGUAACUGGUGUGAGAGCACGACCAGUCACACGGGCACUGAGACACGGGCCCGACUCCUACGGGAGGCAGCAGUAAGGAAUAUUGGUCAAUGGACGCAAGUCUGAACCAGCCAUGCCGCGUGGAGGAUGAAGGUCCUCUGGAUUGUAAACUUCUUUUAUCUGGGAAGAAACCCAUGGAUUCUUCUGUGGUUGACGGUACCAGAUGAAUAAGCACCGGCUAACUCCGUGCCAGCAGCCGCGGUAAUACGGAGGGUGCAAGCGUUAUCCGGAUUCACUGGGUUUAAAGGGUGCGUAGGCGGACAGGUAAGUCAGUGGUGAAAUCUCUGGGCUUAACUCAGAAACUGCCGUUGAUACUAUUUGUCUUGAAUAUCAUGGAGGUAAGCGGAAUAUGUCAUGUAGCGGUGAAAUGCUUAGAUAUGACAUAGAACACCGAUAGCGAAGGCAGCUUACUACAUGAAGAUUGACGCUGAGGCACGAAAGCGUGGGGAGCAAACAGGAUUAGAUACCCUAGUAGUCC
This 796-nucleotide ribosomal RNA is filed under the name uncultured bacterium. RNAcentral describes it as "bacterial SSU rRNA". It matches the Rfam family "Bacterial small subunit ribosomal RNA", at positions 8 to 796 of the family's 1533-position model. The record is from RNAcentral.